This 199-nucleotide long non-coding RNA is filed under the name Gossypium raimondii (Peruvian cotton). RNAcentral describes it as "long non-coding RNA (GRAI_LNC005523)". Lineage: Eukaryota; Viridiplantae; Streptophyta; Magnoliopsida; Malvales; Malvaceae. The record is from RNAcentral.
UUCAAUCCUUGUUCAUUAUAAGUUUGAAAAUGCUAUGCUUCUUUCAUGUAAGGUUCCUACACAGAAAACUCGAAACCAAAAACAAAGAAAAUAUAAAAGCCUAAUGUUCUAAUAAAAAUUAUCCAAGAUUAUUACAAUUUGAAAUAAAAAUUAAAAUUUUAGUCUAAUCAUCCUCAUCUUCCUCAAAAUCCAUGUCCCC